Molecule: long non-coding RNA, 1016 nt
Organism: Dunckerocampus dactyliophorus (ringed pipefish)
Lineage: Eukaryota; Metazoa; Chordata; Actinopteri; Syngnathiformes; Syngnathidae
Exons: 4
Source: RefSeq, a predicted model, not a curated record
UUGGCAAUACAGCCGUCUACUACUGUGAUACUAUAUCGUCAGUAACAGCCUGGGUGAAAGAGUUUUAAUUGAGCCAUUUUGGAAGUUUGUACCUUUUUAAAAUGGGCGAUGCCUUGUUACUGUCUAGAGACUGCUGGAUUGCUUUCUGUGAAAAGAGAGAAACUCCCUCACACAUGACGUGCAUGGUGAACUGAGCUCCUGAAGUGAAUGUGCCGGCCUUCCUUUCGGCAUGAACUCAAGAACGUGGACAAAUUUGAGCUGUGACCUCAGGCAUCAUGGAUCUUUCACAAUCAUCAGGGUUCUCACCUAAGUGUUUCAGAUCAUAUCACCUAAUCCCAAACGCAGUGCGCCCACAGAAUAAAUGAGUUUACCUUUGUCUGAAGAGCAGCGAGGUGUGUUAUUGAGCUAUAAAAUCAAAGCCCACCCCCACGCCCGCUAAUCUGGAGUCUAAGUAAGGGCGGCCUUGGCUAAAACACCAGCCAUCACUUCCACAUAAUUAGCCCAGAAGGAUGGAAUUAGCUGCUGACAAGAUAAUUCACUGAGUGCUUUCAUCUUAGCUCCCGUAGCUCCCACUUCAGCGGGAAUCUACAUGCCUUUAGGUGCUUUUAGGCUGCUUUUUUGUCUUUUGCUGUUAAACAACAAUGUUUCAAGUGAGUGACGGUUAUCAAUCAGCGCAGAAGCAAGGGGCGACACGUCGUUCAAACUAUUCCCGGAAGGUUUGACACUGCUGGUUUAAGUCCUAAAUUUUCCAAACACAACACCAAUCAAUGGCUCAUUAUGGAAGGAGAGCCCAUCACCCAUCCUUGUUACACGUCACUAGGCUUGCCUGCACAGUUGAAGCUAUCCAAUACAAGCAUUCCAAAGUACACACAUUGGGGUGGAAACCAUUUUAAAUGUUGCAAAAUCACCAUUCCAUGGCUCACACUGCAAACAAUAAUGCACAUGUUGCUAAAAUAAUACAAAAUGUAAGCAUUAUUAUCAUUGCAGAGGUGGAAUUUUGCUACUAGAUCUCAUUA